AUUGAACGCUGGCGGCAUGCUUUACACAUGCAAGUCGAACGGUAACAGGCCUUCGGGUGCUGACGAGUGGCGAACGGGUGAGUAAUGCAUCGGAACGUGCCCAGAGGUGGGGGAUAACGCAGCGAAAGCUGUGCUAAUACCGCAUAUUAUCUGAGGAUGAAAGCGGGGGACUAAGCAGCAAUGUUUGGCCUCGCGCCUUUGGAGCGGCCGAUGUCAGAUUAGGUAGUUGGUGGGGUAAAGGCCUACCAAGCCGACGAUCUGUAGCUGGUCUGAGAGGACGACCAGCCACACUGGGACUGAGACACGGCCCAGACUCCUACGGGAGGCAGCAGUGGGGAAUUUUGGACAAUGGGCGCAAGCCUGAUCCAGCAAUGCCGCGUGCAGGAAGAAGGCCUUCGGGUUGUAAACUAGCUUUUGUACGGAACGAAAAGGACUCUGGUUAAUACCUGGGGCUCAUGACGGUACCGUAAGAAUAAGCACCGGCUAACUACGUGCC
Molecule: ribosomal RNA, 496 nt
Filed under: uncultured bacterium
Lineage: Bacteria
Description: bacterial SSU rRNA
Rfam family: Bacterial small subunit ribosomal RNA
Source: RNAcentral